GGAGGGGGGGUGGGCAGCAGGGGGUGGCUAUUUUAACGGCUGUUUGUUUACAGGGGCUUGAGUUGGAUUGGAUUACCUGUGCCUUGCCAAUGAUCCCAAACAUGCAGACUACGCAAUCACCCCACCCCCCCCAACCUCACCCUCAGGGACUAAUCAUCUCUCUAUCGGUCAGGUUCUAACAUGAAUCUAACAUGAGUACGUGUACGUGUGUGUGUGUGUGUGUGUGUGUAAGCUCCUAGCCAGCGACAUCAAUUUAGGCUGAUCAACACAUACUGGGAGAGGGGAAAAGGCAGAUAGGGAACUGUCACUCAAUGUUGAUAGACAUUUCAGAUGUCUCCCAGCACCCAGCAACACAACUUGCAUCUCGUUAAAUUGAAGAAACGAAAAGGAAUAUAGACGGAAAAUCAUCGAUCUAUGACUCCAUCUAUGGUGUUGAGAAGCAACCACGGAGAUGCCGCUUCGCUUCGUGUGUCCCUGGAGUCCAAGGGGAUGUAGCUGAUAGCCUCUGCAGUUAAACAAAGCUCUGCACAGAGCGUGAAGAAAACAACAAUACGCUAAAAACAAGGUCUCUGUUUGUCAGUGUGUAUAAUGUGACAUGCUCACGUUUCCCCCAACCAAUCAGGAAAGUGAGGACCUGAAAUCGAGAGCUGUGCAUACUGAAACUGCAUGCUCAAGCUGUAGGUUUUUUUUUUAGCUGUUCACACCUAAACAUAAACAAUCUAAGACCUGGAACUACUGUGAAGAUAAAACGGUAACCAAAACCACACACACAAAAACUACAUUUAGGACAGACCUCCUAGAACAUUCCUAGCUAGUGCAAGAGUUACAGGUGCAGCUCAGACAAAACAAACAAGCCUAGCCGGGGUUAGCCACGGCUGUUGGCUUUGGCAACACUGGAAAAGGGGGUUGCGUGUUUUGAGUUUGUUUGUUUGUUUCUGUGUGUGUGCGUGUGUGCAGACAGACAACUGCAAAAGGCAGCAUGGCUCAGUUUACCCAAAUUAGAGGCAAUAUGGAUUACACUCACCAGGGGUGUCAGAACUGCAUCGGCAACUGCACAGGAGCUAUCAGGUUUUACUUAUGUACUUUCCAGGGGCUUGUCUAAGGCAGUAGGAUGGACAAAUAUACAGAGAGAGCGAGAGAGAGAGGUUGAUCUACGGCACAGGAGAGCAGGGUCACUGGCAUAUAGUAAACCAGCCAUUUUGUAGUGCUGUUCGAAUUCUCAACUGUAAACUUUAUUCACUAUACAGUGCAUUUUAAACUUCCCACGUGCGCCCCAAGAUGUAGUGUACAGACAAUAUACACUACCAUUUCUCCAGUAUAAUUAAUUCAUUGCAAGAAAACAAUCUGAAUAGGUGAUGAAACAAAAGCCAAAUUAAACUUGGAAGAUAUAGGCUGCACUUUAGUUAAGAAGUUUAGUAUUUGUUGCCUUUGCCAAGUUAGUGUUACCAUGUUGCUAAGUUACCAACAUGGAAUGUUUUGGAAUGUACUGUUCCUACAUAGUAUAUAUAUAUAUAUAUAUAUAUAUAGUGAGGGAGUGGACAUUCUGAACACAGCCUCAGUCCCUCGCUCUCCCUCUCUAAUGGCUAUUUGGGUCACCCUCCUCUCGUCUCCCACACAUGUGACUGGCUGGAAAGCGAACCCUGGCUGCCUGUUUAUCUAUUUAUUUGGCAUUAUUGAUUAAUCACGCUCAGCUGAGGCCUACCGCCGCGCUGGGCUCCCGCUGGCACGCUCUGUGUGGUAUUUGACUUCGGCCAAAGUGAAUUACAGCCACAGAGUUCAGUGCCCCUUCACCAGACCUGUGUGCACCGAUCAGAUCUGAGCGAUGGCAAAACACAUGCAUGGUGGCAGGGCUGCUUGAGGAUUGUUUUGAUUUGUGAAGCUCUGUAUAGUAGGCUAGUCGAUGCUAGAGUCAUGUUUGAGAAAUCCAUCCAUCGCUCACAAAAACUACUUUUUGACAUUGCUACUCAUUACCAUAUUUCUAUUCCGUCUCCCCCAAACGUCUACAAAACGUGCGAUUUGCAUUUAAAACAAUGGCAUAAAUAUGUGCAAGUUGGAGGCUGGAUCUCUAAUGGGUCACCUUGUUUUCAGCCAAUGAAAAAAAAAAAAAAAAAAAUCUUCCACCAUUCACCAUUUAUACCUGUGGCAUUAACACAAAAACUCUUGAGUACUCUGCAAGACCCUUAUGCUCUGCAUCACGCAGUAGCAGAGCGGGGGCCAGAAUCCUGUCUGGUCAUGAUGGAAACUCACCCGAUCGUCUGAUCCCUGCACUGUCCUACAAAGGCAAGACCUCUUAUAUCACUUGGGCCAGGCAAGGAUGAUCUAAUAAUAGCUGCUGUGAUAAGGGUCGGAUCAGCACUGGGCCAUGCAGAGAGAGAGAGACAGAGACAGAGACAGAGACAGAGACAGAGACAGAGACAGAGACAGAGACAGAGAGAGAGAGAGACAGAGAGAGAGACAGAGAGAGAGACAGAGAGAGAGACAGAGAGAGAGAGAGAGAGAGAGAGAGAGAGAAACAACCUGAGUAACUGUCUUAUUCUUGAGCCCCUCAAGCAGUGGUGGCCUGCUCUGACCUUGUCUCGCCACUAGAUUUCUGGAGUCUACUCUGGCUUCCUUCACUCUCCUUCCCUCCGGCACACAAAGACCACUUUGUUUUAGCCUACUUUUCCCCCUACACCGUGUAGGCUAGGUUGUGACAUUCUUUCACUAU
Molecule: long non-coding RNA, 2707 nt
Organism: Clupea harengus (Atlantic herring)
Lineage: Eukaryota; Metazoa; Chordata; Actinopteri; Clupeiformes; Clupeidae
Source: Ensembl